CCCAUACUAAAGCCCAGAUAUAUACAAGAAUACCUGCAAAAAAGUUGUUACUUGAGUGAUUACCUAAUAAUAUAAUGCAAUAAUAAAGUAUUUGAUAAAGUAAAUUAUCGUUCAUAAAAUCCAAACUUUACUCAUCUAUUUACUUAGUAACAUUACAAAAAGUGUAAAUUUAAUUAUCAAUAGAAGUUGUUACUUGAGUGAUUACCCUAAUGCAAUAAUAAAGUAUUUGAUAAAGUAAAUUAUCGUUCAUAAAAUCCAAACUUUACUCAUCUAUUUACUUAGUAACAUUACAAAAAGUGUAAAUUUAAUUAUCAAUAAAUUUGUUUUUUGACGUUGCUGUCUAUGAAUAAAUUUUCCUGUAACAUUAAUGUGUCCUAAGACCUAAUUCAGUGAUGGUGGUAAAAUAUGCAAACAAUUUUUUUUAAAUAAUUUCUUUAUUUAGUUUCUUUAAACUUUUUAAAAUUAUAAUUUUGUUUUAUGUGGAUUGUUUAUUUUAUGGUGUAUGUUGUAACACUACAAGAAAAUUACUAAAUAGAAAUCAAUUUUAGAGACACAAAAUAAUUAGUUGUUAGUGACUAAAUUAGAAAUCAUUUUAGAGACUAAAAAAAUUAUUGGUUUCUAAAUUAGUU
This 629-nucleotide long non-coding RNA is filed under the name Phaseolus vulgaris (common bean). Its description in RNAcentral is "long non-coding RNA (PVUL_LNC004842)". Lineage: Eukaryota; Viridiplantae; Streptophyta; Magnoliopsida; Fabales; Fabaceae. The record is from RNAcentral.